CUUGAACUUUAUAAGAGGUCCAGCCUGCCCAGUGACUCUGUUCAACGGCCGCGGUAUCCUAACCGUGCGAAGGUAGCGUAAUCACUUGUUCUUUAAAUGUGGACUAGUAUGAAUGGCACUACGAGGGUUAUACUGUCUCCUUUUUCUAAUCAGUGAAACUAAUUUUCCCGUGAAGAAGCGGGAAUAUUACUAUAAGACGAGAAGACCCUAUGGAGCUUUAAACAACCCAGCAAUUACUUCUAAAAUUAUAAAUUUCAGAAUAUUCAUUUUUCUAAGUAACAUGUCUGCAAGUUUUUGGUUGGGGUGACCAUGGAGAAUAACAUAACCUCCAUAUUGAAUGAAUUCCCUUCUAAGCUAAAAAUUACCUAUUGAAGCAUCAAUAUACUGACAUCUAUUGACCCAAUAUAUUUGAUCAACGAACCAAGUUACCCUAGGGAUAACAGCGCAAUCCACUUCAAGAGCCCCUAUCGACAAGUGGGUUUACGACCUCGAUGUUGGAUCAGGGUAUCCCAGUGGCGCAGCC
This 523-nucleotide ribosomal RNA is filed under the name Rhinella margaritifera group sp. ABGD cluster 36. RNAcentral's name for it is "partial large subunit ribosomal RNA". It matches the Rfam family "Bacterial large subunit ribosomal RNA", at positions 1835 to 2560 of the family's 2925-position model. The record is from RNAcentral. Lineage: Eukaryota; Metazoa; Chordata; Amphibia; Anura; Bufonidae.